UGGUGCCGUGAGCCUUGGAUGGCACGGCUCGGGUCGUGGUAAAGACACCAUGGACCUCGCCACCGUGGUGGAAACUCGUGGUGGUGGUGCUGCUCCACUUAUUGUCACAUUUAGCCUCACAGAUCUCCGCAAUCCCAUUUCUUGAACAUUAGAAUUUUCACUUGUGGAAUUUUCUAAAUUUCUAGCCAUUAUAUUUUGCUUAUACGUUUUAUCAAAUAACCUUUGCAAGUAAAACAUUCUAAUAAUAAGAACGUAUGAAAAAUAUUCAAAUGGACUAGAAAAUAAAGAAAAAAACCUUUUUGUGCGAGAGUCUUCUACGAGUAUGGAUUUCAACUCUCAAUGAAAGCACCAAUUUGUGGAUGCAAAUUUCUUCCUCCUUGAUCUUGGACAAUUUUGCACCAACAAAACAAUUAACACCUUAGGUUAAGGCCAAGAGCCUCACGCGCCCACGAUGAAUGGGGGGGCUUUGGCCGAAGAAACUCCAAUGCCAAAGUUAGAAUUUAGAGAGAAAGAGUGUUUAGAGAAUUUUGGGAUUUUUGCCAAAGUGUUGGAAUCUAGCUUUUUGGUGAGAAUGAGAGCCUAUUUAUAGGGAUAGGGUUCUUGAUUUAGGUUGAAUUUAGGAGUUAUGGGAAUAAUUGACUAAUUAAUUUAGCAAAUAAAAUUAUUGUCAAAUUAACUAGCUAAUUAAUGUGAUAAAAUAGGUGAAUAUGAUAAGAUCAACAAGGGUGGCCGGCCAUUUGGGAUUUUUGGGUAGUGGGUUAUGUAAUGAGGGAUUAAUUGGCAUAAUGGGUCAUUUAAUUGGUGAUUUAAUGGAUUAAUUAGGAAAUAAAUCCAUUAAUUCACCAAUUAAUCUAAUUUAAAUGGAAUGUUUGGAAUGGUUACCUUGUGGAGUAUAUGGAUGAAAUAACUUUUAUUUGUUACCUUCUUUAGGCAUUUUUGACUUGGUUAAUGGAUGAUUGCCCGCUGCUCGUGCGUAGGAAUCCCGGUAUGCCUCAAGGGUACUUUUGUCCUCUUAUAUCCAAAAAUCCACGUGUCGCCUUGUGAAUAUUUUUGGCUCCACGUAGUGUGUGUUAAAGUUUCACCUACAUCUGACUUUUUUAUUUUUUUGAAUAAACGAUAUUAAUUACACUAAGGGGGAGGGGGAGGGCUUAGCCUCACAAUAGGCUAGCAAUAAUGUGGUUCAAAUUCACUUUUGACGAGAAUCGAACCUAAGACUUCUCACUUGCAAGUGAAGAGGAAUGUCAUCAGGCUGUAGUACUAAGUGACCUAAAUUUGACUCUUAGUCAAAUGAUUAUGCACCAAAGCAAUCCUUUCACCCACUGCGCCUGAGGUUAACCUCUCCAUUUUAUAUAGAUUUGUAUAGAAUAUGGUUUGUCCAUAUUUUGUAAGGGUAAUACAACACCUUAAGAAAAAUACGUUACAUAUACAGAUCUAAUUAUUUCAAGGCCAAAGUCAAAGCCAUCGAUGGAUAUGGCACCGCCAAACCUAUCACUACAUCAGCGAUGUCCCCAAAUCUAAAAGUGAGCCCAGUCAAGCCUCCAUUUAAGAUCUACCAAAUGGGGCAUGAAAACCCUAAUCAAAGAUAAGCAUUUGUCUCCAACAUCUCAACUGUCCUCUUCUUUUUAAAGGUCUAGAUUCCACCACAUUCGCUUUUUCGUAGCUAAAAAAUUUGCUAUACCACACUUGUUAGCCCCAUUUGGUAGCGAGUAGGGGACAAGGGGGCAUGCCCUGUUA
This 1734-nucleotide long non-coding RNA is filed under the name Malus domestica (apple). Its description in RNAcentral is "long non-coding RNA (MDOM_LNC006763)". Lineage: Eukaryota; Viridiplantae; Streptophyta; Magnoliopsida; Rosales; Rosaceae. The record is from RNAcentral.